CCGGAUAGCUGGGAUUACAGGCACGCACAACCACGCCCGGCUAGUUUUGUAUUUUUAGUAGAGACGGGGUUUCUCCAUUGGUCGCAAGUGAAUAUCAGAUAUACACAAAAUGUAUUUCAAUCCUUUAGAGGAGAUAAGAUUAAAGACAGAUGGCUUAUUUAGCCAAGACUAUGGCUCAAUCUUUAAACACCUACUUGUCCCUCAUCAAUGCUCCUAAAAAUAUCCCUUUUCAUUAUUCCCACUACCCUCCAAAAGACACAUCUCAGUCCUUACAUGGGAUUCCUCUCAUCCUCUGUGAUGACAGUCAUUAGGGCCACGGUUCCCAAACUAUGUACUCAAUACCCAGGACACAAUGGCAAACUCACGAGGUAUUGUGGG
Molecule: long non-coding RNA, 378 nt
Filed under: Homo sapiens (human)
Lineage: Eukaryota; Metazoa; Chordata; Mammalia; Primates; Hominidae
Description: non-protein coding lnc-GINM1-3:1
Source: RNAcentral